ACUUAUAAAAGUAAGAACACACUGCUUUUCUAUAGUGGGUCUCCUGAUACUGUUUGCCCGGUUGUUGGCGUGAAUAAAAUAUUCCUUUGUCGGCUUAAGCUUUUUGGCUUAAAUAUUUUGAACCCGUUACCGUGCUGUAACAAGAUUAGGAAUGCAGACU
This is a long non-coding RNA of Sphaerodactylus townsendi, 160 nucleotides long. RefSeq lists it as uncharacterized. NCBI's taxonomy places the organism in Eukaryota, Metazoa, Chordata, Lepidosauria, Squamata, Sphaerodactylidae. The transcript has 3 exons. The record is from RefSeq and is a predicted model, not a curated record.